UGAUCCUGGCUCAGAGCGAACGAUGGCGGCAGGCUUAACACAUGCAAGUCGAGCGGGCCCUUCGGGGUCAGCGGCAGACGGGUGAGUAACGCGUGGGAACGUGCCCUUCGGUUCGGAAUAACUCAGGGAAACUCGAGCUAAUACCGGAUACGCCCUUAUGGGGAAAGGCUUGACUGCCGAAGGAUCGGCCCGCGUCUGAUUAGCUGGUUGGUGAGGUUAUGGCUCACCAAGGCGACGAUCAGUAGCUGGUCUGAGAGGAUGAUCAGCCACACUGGGACUGAGACACGGCCCAGACUCCUACGGGAGGCAGCAGAAGGG
This 318-nucleotide ribosomal RNA is filed under the name uncultured Methylobacterium sp. RNAcentral describes it as "bacterial SSU rRNA". It matches the Rfam family "Bacterial small subunit ribosomal RNA", at positions 14 to 359 of the family's 1533-position model. Lineage: Bacteria; Pseudomonadati; Pseudomonadota; Alphaproteobacteria; Hyphomicrobiales; Methylobacteriaceae. The record is from RNAcentral.